RNAcentral lists this ribosomal RNA (247 nucleotides) under uncultured Flavobacterium sp. RNAcentral's name for it is "partial 16S ribosomal RNA". It matches the Rfam family "Bacterial small subunit ribosomal RNA", at positions 527 to 773 of the family's 1533-position model. Lineage: Bacteria; Pseudomonadati; Bacteroidota; Flavobacteriia; Flavobacteriales; Flavobacteriaceae. The record is from RNAcentral.
GGAGGAUCCAAGCGUUAUCCGGAAUCAUUGGGUUUAAAGGGUCCGUAGGCGGCCUUAUAAGUCAGUGGUGAAAUCUUCUAGCUCAACUAGGAAACUGCCAUUGAUACUGUAGGGCUUGAAUUAUUGUGAAGUAACUAGAAUAUGUAGUGUAGCGGUGAAAUGCUUAGAUAUUACAUGGAAUACCAAUUGCGAAGGCAGGUUACUAACAAUUGAUUGACGCUGAUGGACGAAAGCGUGGGGAGCGAAC